UCCAUUGAAAGGCAGGCCAAAAGUGGCCC
Molecule: small RNA, 29 nt
Filed under: Bombyx mori (domestic silkworm)
Lineage: Eukaryota; Metazoa; Arthropoda; Insecta; Lepidoptera; Bombycidae
Description: ovarian small RNA-27088
Source: RNAcentral